CCUACGGGAGGCAGCAGUGAGGAAUAUUGGUCAAUGGACGCAAGUCUGAACCAGCCAUGCCGCGUGCAGGAAGACGGCUCUAUGAGUUGUAAACUGCUUUUGUACGAGGGUAAACGCAGAUACGCGUAUCUGUCUGAAAGUAUCGUACGAAUAAGGAUCGGCUAACUCCGUGCCAGCAGCCGCGGUAAUACGGAGGAUUCAAGCGUUAUCCGGAUUUAUUGGGUUUAAAGGGUGCGUAGGCGGUCGGAUAAGUUAGUGGUGAAAUCCUGGGGCUCAACUUCGGAAUUGCCACUGAUACUGGUAGGCUAGAGAGUAGUUGCGGUAGGCGGAAUGUGUGGUGUAGCGGUGAAAUGCUUAGAGAUCAUGCAGAACACCGAUUGCGAAGGCAGCUUACCAAGCUACUUCUGACGUUGGGGCACGAAAGCGUGGGGAGCAAACAGGAGUAGAUACCCUAGUAGUC
RNAcentral lists this ribosomal RNA (460 nucleotides) under uncultured bacterium. Its description in RNAcentral is "partial 16S ribosomal RNA". It matches the Rfam family "Bacterial small subunit ribosomal RNA", at positions 338 to 795 of the family's 1533-position model. The record is from RNAcentral.